RNAcentral lists this ribosomal RNA (356 nucleotides) under uncultured bacterium. RNAcentral describes it as "bacterial SSU rRNA". It matches the Rfam family "Bacterial small subunit ribosomal RNA", at positions 445 to 793 of the family's 1533-position model. The record is from RNAcentral.
CGGGUACGUUAAUAGCGUAUUCGUUUGACGUUAGCGACAGAAGAAAGCACCGGCUAACUCCGUGCCAGCAGCCGCGGUAAUACGGAGGGUGCGAGCGUUAAUCGGAAUUACUGGGCGUAAAGCGCAUGCAGGUGGUUUGUUAAGUCAGAUGUGAAAGACCCGGGGCGUCAACCUCGGAAUAGCAUUUGAAACUAGGCAGACUAGAGUACUGUAGAGGGGGGUAGGAAUUUCAGGUGUAGCGGUGAAAUAGCGUAGAGAUCUGAAGGAAUACCGGUGGCGAAGGCGGCCCCCUCGGACAGAUACUGACACUCAGAUGCGAAAGCGUGGGGAGCAAACAGGAUUAGAUACCCUGGUAG